Vidua macroura (Pin-tailed whydah) is the source of this 2561-nucleotide RNA transcript. It is a transcript of the gene named p21 (RAC1) activated kinase 4, with no coding region annotated. The record is from RefSeq and is a predicted model, not a curated record. The transcript has 6 exons. Lineage: Eukaryota; Metazoa; Chordata; Aves; Passeriformes; Viduidae.
CGCUUUUACCAGAGGACCUGGAAUGCGGAGCUGAGGCAGGAGAGUUUUUCCUUCGUGGAAGGAAAACAACCCCUGUGAGCAAACCCCAACCUGCUCCCAGCAGGAUCUGGGCCGGGAUUCCGGCGCUCCGGGGAUCAUCGGGAUCACCCGUGCGGAUCAGGAAAACGCGCUUUCACCGAUUCCGCCGGAAUCCCGGGAGUUUUCGGGACGCUUUGCUCUGUCCCUGUUGCCGUAAGGAGCUGCUUCCCCGAGGACCCCAAAUUCACGCCAAGGGGCCCCGGAGGUGGAAAUUUUUCAUGGAAGAUGUGGAUUUGGAGGGUUUGGAGUCUCUUCCUGUUCCGGCUGACACCAGGAAAAUAAUUCCCCAAGAGGAAAAACCGGCUCAGGGGUUUUCCAACGGAGACUUUGGCUCUUCCCUCUCCUUCCCAAAAGGAUCGAACGCAGCAUGAGUUUGGGAUUCAGGGAACUUUAGAGUAAAAAAACAGAAAAAAAAAGCCAGGAAUAAGCGGUGGGAAUACGAGGAGCGCGUCCCGGGCCAUGUUCUCCAAGAAGAAGAAGCGGGUGGAGAUCUCGGCACCAUCCAACUUCGAGCACCGGGUGCACACGGGCUACGACCCCUCGGAGCAGCGCUUCACGGGGCUGCCCCGCCAGUGGCAAGGGCUGCUCGAGGAGUCCGCCCGGCGCCCCAAGCCCCUCGUGGACCCCGCCUGCAUCACCGCCAUCCGUGGGGCCCAUAAGCCCAUCGUGCGUGGCUCCAAAGGGACCCGGGAUGGGACCCCCGGGGGCCGGGACAGGACUCUGGCGUGGCUCCUGGACGAGCUGGCGGCCGUGUCUGUGUCCCGCUCCAACUCCCUACGCCAGGACAGCCCCCCCUGCCCCUCCCGGCACCCCCCGGAGAACGGCCUGGCCCCGGGACCCCCACGCUCCCGCCCGGAGCCCGGCAAGAGCCGCCGCGGGGACCCCGAGCCAAGCCCCCCCCAGUCCCGGGAGCGGGGAGACCCCAAAGCUGCGGCCGGGCGGGAGCCCCCCCACCCUCACCCCCACCCCCCCGGGGGCCGCCCCAAAUCCAGCUCAGCCGGAGAGGGGCCCCCCCGGCCCCCACCCCGCGAGCAGCGCCCGCUCUCAGGGCCCGACCUGCGGCCCCCCGACAUUCCCGGCGCUCCCGGCGCUCCUGGAGCGGGGCUGAAGACGGCGCCCGGACGCCCCUUCCACACCUAUCCCCGUGCCGACACCGACCCUGGCCGGGGGGGUAGUGCCCAGGUAAAGGGGUGUCCCCAGGCCUUUCCUUAUCCUCCUCUUCCUGCUCUCCUCUUCCAGAGUGGGUUCUCUGCUCCUCUUCCUCACGGCUUCCCAUGCUCCGCUGGGAUCAGCAACAGCUUCCUUCCCCAGUCACAUCCUUGGCUCUGGAGCAGUUUCCUCUUCUUCUUCUCCUUCUUCUUCUUCUUCUUCUUCUUCUUCUUCUUCUUCUUGUUCUUCUUCUUCUUUUUCUUUUUCUUCUUCAUCUUCAUCUUCUUUUUCUUCUUCCGCUUCUUCCUCCUCCUCGCUGUGCUUGCCCUGUUCUUUCUCAGAAGCGGUUCCUCUGCUCCUCUUCCUCACAGCUUCCCAGAAUCGGGAUGUGCAGGGGCCACCACCUCCCCUGCCAGUGCUGCGUCCUUGGCACCAAACCAGUUUCCUCUUCCUUGCUCUGCCUCUUCUCUUCCUCCUUGGAAGCGGCUCCUCUGCUCCUCUUCCUCGCAACUUCCCUUGUCCCAGUCAGAAUCAGAGCAUCCUGAAGGCCACUGGCUCCGCGCUUCCUUCCUGGUGCUGCAUCUGUGUCUCUUCCUCUUCCUCUUCCUCACUCAGCCCUUCCCUCCGGCCUGUGCCCGGAGGCCCCGGCGCUGGCCCCCGACAUUCCCACAGGAAUUCCGGGGGCUGACGCUCCUCUCCCCUGUCCCUACAGGCCGAGCACCACCCGGGACGCCCGCAGGAGGCGACCCCCAACGGGCCGGUCCCUGCUGGCGCUCCCGGCGCUCCCAGUGCUUCCCACGCCCCCGGCCCCCCACGCCCCAAAGCCCCGGAGCCGCCUCCCCUGGCCCCGGAGCCCCCGGCCCCGCGUCCCCCCGGCCCCACGCCCGCCCCAGCGGGGGGGCCCCAGCGCGUGUCCCACGAGCAGUUCCGGGCAGCGCUGCAGAUGGUGGUGGACCCCGGCGACCCCCGCACGUACCUGGACAACUUCAUCAAGAUCGGCGAGGGCUCCACGGGCGUCGUCUGCAUCGCCACCGUGCGCGGCUCCGGCAAGCUCGUGGCCGUCAAAAAGAUGGAUCUGCGCAAGCAGCAGCGGCGGGAGCUGCUCUUCAACGAGGUGGUGAUCAUGCGGGACCACCAGCACGAGAACGUGGUGGAGAUGUACAACAGUUACCUGGUGGGUGACGAGCUCUGGGUGGUCAUGGAGUUCCUGGAGGGCGGCGCUCUGACUGACAUCGUCACCCACACCAGGAUGUCGGAGGAGCAGAUCGCGGCCGUGUGCCGCUCGGUGCUGCGGGCACUCGCCGUGCUCCACGCCCAGGGCGUCAUCCACCGCG